UCUUUCUUUUUUUUUUUAAUUGAUUUAUAAAAUUUGUUAUAAAAAAGCCUCCGCCAUUCGGGAAGUCUAUGCAUUGACCCAAGAUAGUCUUGAAUAUAUAUACCAAAUAAAAUAACACAAAAUUAAUUAUUUUUUAAGUUAUUUAAUUUUAAAGUUGAAAAAGUGAUAAGAAACUCUUUUUUUUUGAAGAUGGCCCCCUUUAAAUGGCAUUCAAUUCUAAUAGUAUUGGUGUUUCGUUUUUAGAGUUUGUUUGUGAUGAUUAAUGUGCCACCACAUAAAUGUUGUAAAUAUUAAUGAAGCUAUGGCAUCAAUUAUAAUGUUGAGACAAAAAUGCCAAAUCUCAAGUUAAAUGGUUCAUCAAAGUCUGAAUCUGCUGUGAAUUAAAGUAAAUAUCAUGAAAUGUCAAAUCUUAAGAUAUGAAAUUUUUAAUGGAAUUUUGGUCCAUAAAAAUCCAAGUACCACAUAUUUUGAUAAAUAUAUUUCUAAGUAUCCUGCAUUUGGUUGUUGUUGUAAAUUUUCAUUGCGAUAUUCAUUAUUUUUUAGUUCACAAAGUUAUAAAAAGAUCCUUAACUCAAGUCUAUGUAACUAUGUUAAAACGGAUGCAAGCACUAAAGAAGACAUUAACGUUACAAAUUGAAGCAGAAAUUUAUAACGAAUCAUGUUGAUGAUUAGAUAUGAAUCGCAGGAAAGCACCAUUGUCGAAUGGUUAUGAAUCAAAUCUUUGUAUUAUAAUUGCGUAAAUAUAUUUUGAAAAUAAGCCUGUUUUUCAAAUUUGUUCAUAUUAAUUAAACUUGUCAAUAAUCACGUGUCCAAUACAUUUCAUUGUCCUUAAACUAAUGAAAAAUACGCCAAUUUUUAAGCAAAAAAUUACAGUCGAUUCUGCUAUAAACAACUUAAAUAAUUAAGAAGACGAGAUCUAAAAGGAUUUUUAUGGACUUUAAAUACGAAAAUCCAUAACAAUCCCAUGGGCAACCCAGUUAGUUAACAAAUACAAAAUCACACGUACGAUGUAAAAAUGACUAAUCGU
Molecule: long non-coding RNA, 1027 nt
Organism: Hydra vulgaris (swiftwater hydra)
Lineage: Eukaryota; Metazoa; Cnidaria; Hydrozoa; Anthoathecata; Hydridae
Source: RefSeq, a predicted model, not a curated record